Molecule: long non-coding RNA, 1856 nt
Filed under: Macaca fascicularis (crab-eating macaque)
Lineage: Eukaryota; Metazoa; Chordata; Mammalia; Primates; Cercopithecidae
Description: lncRNA (ENSMFAG00000061227.1)
Source: RNAcentral
UUUUUUUUUUUUUUUUCCUUUGAGACAGGGUUUUACUUCUGGCACCCGGGCUGGAGUGCAAUAGCGGGAUCUCAGCUCACUGUAACUUCCACCUCCUGAGUUCAAGUAAUUCUCCUGCCUCAGCCUCCCAAGUAGCUAGAACUGUAGGUGCACACCACUGCACCCAGCUAAUUUUUGUAAUUUUUGUAGAGAUGUUAUUUCAUCACAUUGCCCAGGCUGGUCUCCAGCUCCUGACCUCAAGUGAUCCACCUGCCUUGGCCUCCCAAAGUGCUGGGAUUACUGGCGUGAGCCACUGCACCCAGCCCCUGUCAUUGUUUUUCAUAAUCGUGCCAGAUUGAAAAGGCUUUUUGCCUUGGGCAAGCUCCAAGGCAGAUCAAAUGCAGUCUAGCAAGUCAGGUGUUACAGAGAACCACCAAACACUUCAAUUGUGAUAAUUCCUGGAAAUAAAGCUUUAAGGGAGAUCCAGCUCUUCUGCUUCCUCCAGUAGCUGUUGGGUUGCUGGUGUUCACCGUGAAUGUGAACUUUAAUUUUCUGGGUUACUGUGGAACUGCCAAGCAGGAGACAAGAGAAAGAAAAAUUAAACUGCCACGAAACUCACUGCUCUGAGAUUACACUGGUUUGUUUUUGUUUGUUUUUCUAGAAGGAAUAUCCUCUGGAUUAUUACAAGCUUUUAGCUAAUUUCCUGAGGUCUAAAAAUGUUAAUGGGCCAGGCGCAGUGGCUCAUGCCUGUGAUCCGACCACUUUGGGAGGAUUGCUUGAGCCCAAGAGUUCAAAACCAGCCCGGGCAACAUAGCAAGACCUCCGCUCUACAAAAAUGAAAACUUUAGCCAAGUACAGUGGUGCACACCUGUAGUCCCAGCUAUUUAGGAGGCUUUAUAAAGGUGGAUAAAUCCAGAGGUGGGAGGAUCACUUUAAGUCCAGAAGUAUGAGGUUGCUGUGAGCUAUGAUUGCAUCACAGAACUCUAGCCUGGGCAACAGAGCAAGACCCUUUCUCUUAAAAAAAAUGAUAAUAGUAAAAAUCAAAAUGGUAAUGGUGACCAUUUGUUGCCAGUUUUCCCAUUUUUUCGUAGAAAGAAUUUUUGGAGGUCUUUCAUCUGCCCUUUUCUCCAAAGUCAUUCACUCAGCUGCAUUUUUAGAAAAACCUAGGGCCAUAGUACAUGAGUAGUUAUCCCUGGAUGUUUGUGAUAGUCACAAUUCAGCAUAAAUUAUAUCUCAGAUGAAAACUUUUCUUGCAGUGAUAUUCAUAGCAUUCAGUCAAAUAUAUAAAAUUAAACCUAAGAACAGGCCAGAUGCAGUGGCCCAGGACUGUAAUCCCAGCACUUUGGGAUGCUGAAGUGGGAGGAUCAUUUGAGACCAGGAGUUUGAGGCCACCCCUGGCAACAUAGUGAGACCUCAUUUCUACAAUAAUAAAAAAUAAAUAACUGAAUUAGCUGGGUGUGGUGAUGCACACUGGCAGUCCCAGCUGUUCUGUCAGCAGAGGUAAGAGGGUUACUUGAGCCUGGGAGCUUGAGGCUACAGUGAGCUGUGGUUCUGCCACUGCACUCCAGCCUGGGAGACAAAGUGAGACCCUCCACCCCGCCUCCCAAAAAGGAAGAGAACCUAAUUUUAACGGGAAUUUCCCUAAAAUGUUAUACUGAAUACUAUGGCCUGGUAACUUCGGUUAAUAUUGGCAACAUUCUAUGAUUGAAUUUACAUGUUAGAUGGCUCUUUUUCUCCCCAGGCAGGGUCUCGGUCUGUCACCUAGGCUGGAGUGCAGUGGCAUGACCAUAGCCCACUGCAGCCCCUACCUCCUGGGAUCCAGUGAUGUUCCCACCUCAGCCUCCUGAGUAACUGAGACUACAGGCACAUGCCAGCAU